AAUGCUUUGAUUUCAGACAAUAUAGCAUAGUUGUACAUCACUACAAUGGUAAAUUUUAUAGGAUGUUUCAAUCUAAAAAGUGGGGGUGUGAGGAUUAUGUUCAAACUUCAAUAUCGCAGACACAUUUCAUAUAGCAUCAUUUUU
Hibiscus syriacus is the source of this 144-nucleotide long non-coding RNA. RefSeq lists it as uncharacterized. The record is from RefSeq and is a predicted model, not a curated record. The transcript is spliced from 3 exons. NCBI's taxonomy places the organism in Eukaryota, Viridiplantae, Streptophyta, Magnoliopsida, Malvales, Malvaceae.